RNAcentral lists this ribosomal RNA (438 nucleotides) under uncultured bacterium. Its description in RNAcentral is "partial 16S ribosomal RNA". It matches the Rfam family "Bacterial small subunit ribosomal RNA", at positions 339 to 795 of the family's 1533-position model. The record is from RNAcentral.
CUACGGGAGGCAGCAGUGAGGAAUAUUGCACAAUGGGGGGAACCCUGAUGCAGCAACGCCGCGUGGAGGAUGACGCAUUUCGGUGUGUAAACUCCUUUUAUAUGUCAAGAAAAUGACGGUAGCAUAUGAAUAAGCACCGGCUAACUCCGUGCCAGCAGCCGCGGUAAUACGGAGGGUGCAAGCGUUACUCGGAAUCACUGGGCGUAAAGGAGCGUAGGCGGGUUGGAAAGUCAGGUGUGAAAUCCUACAGCUUAACUGUAGAACGGCACUUGAAACUUCUAAUCUAGAGUAUGGGAGGGGGAAAGGGAAUUAGUGGGGUAGGGGUAAAAUCCGUAGAUAUCACUAGGAAAACCAAAAGCGAAGGCGAUCUCCUGGAACAUUACUGACGCUAAGGCGUGAAAGCGUGGGGAGCAAACAGGAUUAGAUACCCUUGUAGUC